RNAcentral lists this transfer RNA (72 nucleotides) under human gut metagenome. It matches the Rfam family "tRNA". Rfam says of the family: Transfer RNA (tRNA) molecules are approximately 80 nucleotides in length. Their secondary structure includes four short double-helical elements and three loops (D, anti-codon, and T loops). Further hydrogen bonds mediate the characteristic L-shaped molecular structure. tRNAs have two regions of fundamental functional importance: the anti-codon, which is responsible for specific mRNA codon recognition, and the 3' end, to which the tRNAs corresponding amino acid is attached (by aminoacyl-tRNA synthetases). tRNAs cope with the degeneracy of the genetic code in two manners: having more than one tRNA (with a specific anti-codon) for a particular amino acid; and 'wobble' base-pairing, i.e. permitting non-standard base-pairing at the 3rd anti-codon position. The record is from RNAcentral.
GAGACUUAGCUCAGCUGGUUAGAGCGCUUGCUUCACAUGCAAGAGGUCGCGGGUUCGAGUCCCUCAGCCUCC